AACGAACGCUGGCGGCAUGCCUAACACAUGCAAGUCGAACGAGACCUUCGGGUCUAGUGGCGCACGGGUGCGUAACGCGUGGGAACCUGCCCUUAGGUUCGGAAUAACUCCCCGAAAGGGGUGCUAAUACCGGAUAAUGUCUUCGGACCAAAGAUUUAUCGCCUUUGGAUGGGCCCGCGUUGGAUUAGCUAGUUGGUAGGGUAAAAGCCUACCAAGGCGACGAUCCAUAGCUGGUCUGAGAGGAUGAUCAGCCACACUGGGACUGAGACACGGCCCAGACCCCCACGGGGGGGAGGAGGGGGGAAUAUGGGACAAGGGGGGAAAGCCUGACCCAGCAAGGCCGGGGGGGGGAUGAAGGCCUUAGGGUUGUAAAGCUCUUUUACCCGGGAUGAUAAUGAAAGUACCGGGGAAAUAAGCCCCGGCUAACUCCGU
RNAcentral lists this ribosomal RNA (432 nucleotides) under uncultured bacterium. Its description in RNAcentral is "partial 16S ribosomal RNA". It matches the Rfam family "Bacterial small subunit ribosomal RNA", at positions 29 to 506 of the family's 1533-position model. The record is from RNAcentral.